ACGCUUGGAGUCAGUCGCGUUGGCCGGAAAUCAACCCUGCUUCUGCUGGGUGUACUUUCUGGUCGACGGGCCAGCAUCAGUUUUGAUCGAUGGAAAAAGUCUAGGGGAAUGUGGCACCUCCGGGUGUGUUAUAGCCCCUGGUCGUAUACAUCGGUUGGGACUGAGGAAUUCAGCACGCCGAAAGGCCGGGUUUCGACCACGUUCGUGCUUAGGAUGCUGGCAUAAUGGCUUUAAUCGACCCGUCUUGAAACACGGACCAAGGAGUC
Molecule: ribosomal RNA, 266 nt
Filed under: Coprinopsis phlyctidospora
Lineage: Eukaryota; Fungi; Basidiomycota; Agaricomycetes; Agaricales; Psathyrellaceae
Description: partial large subunit ribosomal RNA
Source: RNAcentral